Macrobrachium nipponense is the source of this 759-nucleotide long non-coding RNA. RefSeq lists it as uncharacterized. Lineage: Eukaryota; Metazoa; Arthropoda; Malacostraca; Decapoda; Palaemonidae. The transcript has 5 exons. The record is from RefSeq and is a predicted model, not a curated record.
GUGAUCGAAGAGACUUUGCUAAUUCCUCAGAAGCAUCGUUACAAAUCACGGCUUCUGCAAGUGUUAUUGAUUUUACUGCCACUACUUUGUCAGGAGGAAUCUUGUGAUGCCUUAGAAUGGUUGUGUGAAGGUCUGAUAAAAAAUCACCAACAGCCUAGUGUUAGAUAUAUGCAGGAGUGGGGAGUAUCUUUGAUCAUUAUCCAUUUCCUGAGUUUUUUCUGCAUUUUGAAAAGCAUUUAAAACAGGGGACAAAAGAGAGAGUGGGUUGUGUUGGAUCAUUUUUAGCCUCACUAACUCAUAUUGCCUGCACUUCAGAGGACAAACAUCUGCUAAGGCAGUCUAUUGAAUGUGCUCUACCUUGGUGUAUGGCUCAGCAUUUCAACACACGGCUUUAUGCUCAGGUUUCAUUAAGGAAGAUUUGGCAGUACUGUGAAAACAAGAAUAUUACUGAACUUUUGAACCAGUUCAGAUCCGUCCAACACUGCCUUCAGUUCGUAGCUGAGCAAGGAAACCGCAGUGCGUAACACACUAAACAUGCUAAAUGAUUUCUAUUUUAAAAGUCUUCCAUCCUCUUCAGCACUAUACAUUACAGACUAUUUUCUAUGAUCUGCCAUGUCUUUCAAUGCUGUCUGAUGAUGAAUGGUUGGCAGUUGAAUCUCUUAUGAACGUAAUGGAUACAUCAGUUUUGCCAGUCAAAAGUAUUUUGCCACUUUAUAAUGAAGAUAAUGUUCUAGCUGAAUCAGUACCAGCACCAUGGGU